CCAAAACUCCUCACUUUCUUCAGUCUAGAUUUGCUGAGAAUCCAAGUCAGGAUUUGAGUUUAGGUGUUAGGAAUUCCUUAAGUUUGGGAAACCCCUCUUUGGAAUUGAGCACUAAUAAUGGGAAAACCCCAAUUCAACUAGCACAACAAGCACUUCCUCCAGCGCACUAUCACUUCCUUCAGCAGCAACAACAGCAGCAGCAGAGGCUAUUACUUCAGCAGCAGCAGAUGAAACAACAAGCGGAAAUGAUG
RNAcentral lists this long non-coding RNA (251 nucleotides) under Fragaria vesca (wild strawberry). RNAcentral's name for it is "long non-coding RNA (FVES_LNC000560)". The record is from RNAcentral. Lineage: Eukaryota; Viridiplantae; Streptophyta; Magnoliopsida; Rosales; Rosaceae.